UUUGAGAUAAUUAUGAUUAAAAGAUGAACUUUGAUCAAUUAUUAAAAAUCACCUACACCUCACAAAAAUGUGAAACAAGUUGCAAUGGAUAGAUAAUAAUCAUCUUUAUUGCAUACUAUUUUUACAUUACAAGAAUUGGAUCACAAUCUGAUCACAGAAAAAUAAAAUGAAAAAUACAUCAAAAAUAGAAAAUGGAAGAUCCUAUUCUAUCCUAUCUAGUCUUUUGCUCCUUGUCUUCAUCUUGAAACCUGAAAUGCACAACAACAAAAGGAAGCAUAUUGUUAUUGUUAAAAUGUUUGGUCGGUCUAAGACCAACCAGUUAAUGUGGAAUCCAUAGGAUUAAUUUCAAAAACUUGUUUUGGAAUUAAAAUAGCCAGGGCAUGGCAAAUAAUUUUAGAAGAUCAUUUCCAAACCCAAUUGAAACCAGAACAUUAGUGACAAUAAAAAUAAGCAAGUAGACCAUCUAAAUGAUCUAGUAAAAUCUAAUUGUGAACAUUGAAGAAUUGAACCAAUAGUAGAACAGUAGGUUUAGAACAUCACAUCAUUCAUAAAUAAAUACCCAGAAUAUCAAUAUCAUCAAGGAUUAGCAAAAACCACUGAUUAGCAAAUGAAGUGCCCUGACUUGGAAACCAUUUUAAGAAUAGCAUUUAGCAAAAAUUUGAUCAUGCAAAGGAUCAUGUCCUUGCUAAUCAAAAUUAGCAAGUGAUUAACAAAUGCAACCAAUAAAAGUUUAACUUGAACACAGUAUUAACAUCAGUGCGUUGCACUGGACACAUCAGAACCAAAAUCCACAAUCAAAAGUCAGUAUACAACAAAGUCAUUAAUAAACAGAUUAGUAGAUUCAUGAAAAUCAUGUAUCUGCACUAGAAACCAAAAUAUAAGUCGGUUUGGAACAGUGCUCCAGCCCCAGCCUAUAAAUACCCCCUCCCACAACACAUUUCACUCACAAAAAUCUCAAAGCAGCUCAUAAAAACACCUUAGGGCCAGAGGCUAAAGGUUGAGCCCACAAACUCCAUAGCUUGAAAGCUUGGAGAGAGAUUAAAAGGGAAAGCUCACUUGUGAGUAGCCCACACAUUAGAACACACCAGUAGUAUAGCUAGAGGAAGAAGAAGAAGGCAAGAUCAGGGGAAGCAAGGAGGUGCUACCCAAAUCUACAUCAAGCGUUCUUUGAUAUCUUCAAAGGUUUAAAUUUUUAGCUUUUAUUUCUGCAAGAGAGGGAGUGAUUAGUAGCACACACUAUUCACUGGUUGUUGUGCAUCCUCCACAGAGGAACACCACAGCCAUGCCUAGUGAAAAGGGCACAACCAUUAAAAUUUGGUGUGUGAGCUCAAGGAAGAAGAUGAAGUGGCAAUCACACACAGUGAUCACACACCUCAUAAUCCUUCUAUACAGCCCCUAUACACAUCAAAAUGGGGAUCAUAGAAUUAGUAAGAUUGUGGUAGUGGAAGUUUAUCCACUAAGUGUGAUAGUUGCAAGCUCUAAGAGAUGCAACAUAUAAUUGUAUAUUGAUUGAUAAUGAGCAUUCAAGCUCAACUGAGUGAUGUAUAUCAAAUAAAAACACCACUGUCAAUAACAGACAGAAGUGUCAUUAUUCAGUGAAGUGUCAAAUUUGAUGAGUUAAAUUGUUGCAAGUGUCUAUUGGAGUAAUGGCAAUUGUAUGUGCAAGUGUAUAGAUAUUAACCAGUAGUUAAUAUUCAUCAUAGAUAGCAUUUAGCAGAGCCCAUAGAAGCAAUAUGAGCAACUGAAUCUCAACACUGUCAAAAGUGUUAAAAUUCAGAAGCUAAGACUGCAGAUUAAAGCAGUCAAGUCUAGGUUGAUCUAGGAUUGAGCAUAGAGCAUAUAUAGCUAGGUUAAAGUUAAGCAAGACCACCACAAGUUCAUAAGCAGAGAGAUGCAUAUCUCUGACAGAACUGUCAAAGUUCAGUCAAGUAUUGCAAGUGUGAGCAGCAGAGCAAGUAAUCAACAGUAGUAGUAGCAGUAGUAUUCUAAGUGCAAGAUUAACACCAUAGAUCGUAGCUAAACCCCCAGCAAGCCAGCAUGACUGAAGAAAUUCUUCAGAAACCCUAGAAUUUUUCCCAAAGGGGAAAGCAGUGUAAGAGAUCGUUUGAUAGCAGUCAUGGCAGAGAGAGGAGUUGGGAGAGAGAGUGAAAAGGGCGGCUGAGCCACUUACCUGGACCAGCGUGGCCUAGCCACGGUGGCCGGAGAACGACGGAGCACGGUGGUGGUCGCCAGGACAGGGAACCCCAUGCCAGGGGAUACGACCUGUUCUGAAGCGAACAACAGCCGAAGGAGAGCGAGUAGCGGCCAGGGAGGCCGGCGAUAGAAUCAACCUCGUCGGAGACGAGGAAGACGCACGCCAUCCCGAACCCUAAUCCUCUAGGGUUAGUUGCGUGAGCUCCAGAGAGUGAGAGAGAGAGAGAGCGAUUAGCUAGGGGAGGUGAGAGAGUAGAGGGAGGCCAUCAGUUUGACGGCAGCGCCAUGGCCGGAGCUGGCCGGAGACGGCCAGGGCAGGGCGGCGGCGGCGCUGGCGACCGCGUCACCAUUGGCGUCGCGAGUGUGCGCGCGCGUGUGUGCGCGUGAGAGGGAGGGCGCGGUCUGGUUCGACCAGACCGGCGACCCGGUUCGGUCGGUUUGACCGAUUAGGUCAAGGACCUGUUUGUAAGAAAUUUAAGUCUAGGGACUUGUUUGUAAAUUGACCAUCUCUUUUCAUUUAAUAGUCCAAAAAUAUUGAAAAAUAUAUUUUUGGAAAUCUAAAAAUAUAACCUAUAAGGUUAUGUGAUUAGUUUGAAUUGUGUGAAUAAUUAUUUUAGAAGAUUAUUUUUGUUGAUACAUGUGGUGAAAAAUGAAUAUUUAUUAUUCAAAAUUCACAAAAGUAUUUUUCCUUCAAGGGAAAAAUUCUUAAAAACUAUUUGGUGUGUUGUGUGAUCUUUUGAAAACCAAAAUUUUAAUUAUGUCUUUUUAAAUGACCUGGGUAUUAUUAAAGUACCAAAAAGAAAACAAUAACAAGAAUAAUAUUUUCCAAGUUGGGAAUAUUAUUUUAAACUCAAAAAAUACUAUUUUGGAUAUGAAAAUAUUCAAGAUAAGUUAAUAUUGAAAUCAUAUCUAUGAAUUUCUUCCGAAAGUCUACAAUAUAUCCGUCUUUGCGGCAUAGAAAGAUUUUACAAAGUUUUGGCUAUCUGCGAUCCUUCCGGUGGCUCACUUGCUUAUCCGGUUGUUUGAUCAACGAUGUGCUUCAGUUUGAUGGAUCUUUUUAUAGCGAAGCAGUAUAUCCCUUGUGACUAAGGAGUUGAAUUCUACAUAUAUAUGAAAAUUCUAAAGUGAAAUCCAUAUGAAAAUUCUAAAGUGAAGUUCAUAUGAGCAACCUUAAUAAUCAACACACGGGAAAGGGUUUUCAAAACUAUUUCGCACAUAAUCUCUUAAAUGAUUUGGAUCUUAAAACAUUGUCUUCUACUUGGACAAUGACGAUUCUUCAGAACCCGAGCUCCAGGGUCAAGCAAAACCUUUGAACUGCAUUAUCCCGCAGUUUCCAGGCAAGUUCAUUGUUGGCAAGUUUAUUCUUGCUCAUGUCCAUUGAAUAUUUUCAGCAAUAUAAUUUUGCAUAGUAUUUCAUACCACUUGCAUUCAAAAUGCUUUUCAAAUAAAUUGAUGGAUGAUGGAAUCAUGGUAUGUUGUGCGAUCGGAGUAUCGUACGAUGGAGAUUCCAUUAUACCGGGAAUGAAUAGGAAAUUAAUAACAACUGUUAUCAGUCAUUCCAAAGCGCCGUAAAUCGCGCUGACCACAGAACUUGGUAUGGGACAAGCAAAUCAGAAGUUACUUCGGAGUUCCGUAUAUCCCCGGAGGCGUAGUCGGAUUGAUAUGCCAUUAGGGGAAAUCAAUGGGUGGGAGCCCAUGGUAAACGUCCCUACUCUGUGCUGCAGAGUAACGACUAUUGUCUUCUAGCUGAGAGGGUGAUUAAUGCGGGUCAGGGAUCCGUAUUGGUUACAAUGGGUGGGUUACGGAAUGAGGCGGUGCUCGGCAUGAUUUGGCUAUACUUGGUACCGGCCACAUACCUCAGGUAGUAUGUUAUUGGCAAGAGGGCCAAGGACAUUUGUGGGCAAACUAGCGCACCUCUGCAGAGUGUAUUGAAUUGUGACAUGUUACUCCCUAUUCCGGGAAGGAAUUGCGAAUGUCGCGUGGAAAGGAACUACGCAAAAGUUCUAACAACCCGUGAGGGAUGAUGGACAUAGAUUUAAUUAUUAAAACUUGAAUCACCAACAAAACCUUUUCAAAAACUUGCAUAUGUUUGGAUAUCUUUGAUUCCGAACAACUUUUUCAUUUAUCAUGAAACACCUUUUUAUCUAGAACUUGCUGAGUACGCCUGUACUCAAUCUAUCUUCGCAACCCUUGCUUUAGACUAUGAGAACAGCGAAGACUUGUCUGAGGACAAUGAAGAUCAAUUCUACGAAGAACAGGAUCUUUCCGGAGGUGUAGAAGGAGUAGACUACGGCAUAGUCUACGGUACUAGUGACGAGGAGCCCGAUGCUGAAGCGUAGAAUAUUAGUUCCACUAGUUGAGCUUGCAGCCUCGUAGAUAAAUAAGUUGCAAAUGCUCGCAAUGGUUUUAAGUCUUUUACUUCCAUUGCUCAUUAGAUUUUCUAGUUUGAAUUUGAAUUUGAAUGAGACUCCUCAAUGGACCGAGGAUGAUCUCGAAGCUUUUGUGCACUUUUGGUUGCUAUCCAUGAACACGUAAAGUUGCGGACCCGCAAUGUUUCUGUUGUACCAUUCUGAGGGAUGUGAUAUUUACGAAAGCGGACUUUUGUGAGUAUUUAUAUCAACGACUUGUACACUACAUAUGCAGUGGUGUACUGGGUCACCGCAGCUGGUAUCAGAGCAAUGCUUCGACCUUAGGUUGGACGACCUAGUAUAGGGAAUAGCCUGUAGGAGCCGAGUGACGUUAAGAUGAGAAUUCUCUAAGGACUAAGAUGGGUAUUCAAAUGAGAAUAUUCUGUCGAAUACUUAGUGCUAUAAUUCUUUUUCUUAGUUUAGCAAAUUUUUGCUAAAUUGUCAUGUUUUCUCUUAGCAGUCAGGAAAGAUGGGUGAAAUGCCUUAUCGAACCGUGGUUGUGACGAGAGCUAUUUAACUGACUAUCAUGGAGGACUAGAAGAAAUCCUGAAGCAGUUGUUAGUAGCAUGUAACUGUAUUCCAAAGGCACCCGUUAGAGAAUAUGCUCACUCUGACGGAAGGAUACCGGUGAAGUAUCGUGUUACCAUACAGUUACCGAGGGAGAUAGGUGGUGGGUAUCUUUUACCCUUUGGAGAGUCUAGGAUAGCGGCAGUUGCAAGGGAGAUUGCAUUUUUCGAGGAAAUUACUACGAUUCGUGGUUAUUGUACCAAGGAACUCGCGGGAAGUGUUUUCAUGACUAUUCCUUGCGGAGACUUUGAUGAAGCCUUGAAGCGGGAUCACGUCUCUUUUGUGAGAGAUAGUCCUGAGAUGACGGCAUGAUAUCUGGAUAGGUGCACGUCCUUGUUGGAAAUCUUUUAUCUGCUCCACAUCAACUUGGUCACAGACCAUGAGCAGUUACUAGAUGAUUUCUCAGACCAUGACGUGGUAUUGGAGAGGAGACGGCAAUAUGACAGAGGUGGAGUAUCAACAUGCACAUCCGCCGGAAGAGGAAGAGCCAAUGGAGGAAGAAUUAGAGGAGGAAUUGGGAGAUGGCAUAGUGGUUAAUGGAGUUGUGCCAGAGUCAAAUUUGGACACACCAACACCCUACGAGCCAAUACUAGCUAGGGAAGGUUACUACAUCAAUGAUAAUGGUUGGGAAGUACCCGAUUCGUUUCGAGAUAUAAUCCCUACUGGGUGGGGCACGGACGAUGAGGACUUACCUCAUUAUGAUGUUGAUCCAGAGCCAAGGGUUGGCAGAACCCAGUGGCAGGUGAUUGAUCUGAGCAAGUUGAACAUGCAAGAGCAUGAGGAGACGGAAGAGUCAAGGGCGGAAUAUGCUCUUUGUCUAGAGGCCUUAGAUGCAUGUCAGGAACCCCUUGUUUACAAAGACUGGGGAAGCGACAUUGAGAUGACACCACUUCCUUGUUUUUACAUGGAGGAUGGACGUCCUUAUUAUCCUGACAUGAAGCUAGAGGAUGAGCCAUGGGUACUCGAGUUUGAUGCAGAAGGUAGUAUGCACAUUCAAGAUAUUAUCGAGGGCCAGACAAGGUAGAAGAAAUGUGGCAAGGUUUAGAUAGCUUCUUUGCUGAAGAAGAUGCUAAGGUAAUGCCGAGAGGAACUCGGACUUACGAGACGAUUGAGCCAGUUGAGAUACCGAGCACUCUUAGAAGGUCUACUCGUUUCACGGGAUAUACUCCGGGAAAGUAUUACGAGAGUGACCGAACCUUCGCAAGCAGCUUCUAGAAGUCUUUUUAGGGAGCAUUAGGAAGAAGUUUAGUAGAGUAUUGCGUAUUGUAUGUGUGGGGUUUGUGAACCGAAUAAAUGAGCUUCAUCUCAAAUGUAUAUGUGUGUACAGAAGGCAUGUAUAUACAUGGUAUAUGUUCGUUUGCAAACCAUUGUGUCUGAAAUGUUUAAAUUAUGCAUCUAAGAUGAAGUGAAUGAUUUGCAACCAUUUGGAUUUUAUUUGGAUCUUGAGUUAUUGUGUGACUAGCACUAUGCAUUGAAAACGAACAACCCACUGUGCAUCUGCAUAAUGCAACAUGGUGUUCUGACGUAAGUGCAAUAGGUCUAGAGGUUAAUGUCCGCAAACCAAGUAGAGACCCAAAAUGAACGCUGAGAUAGGGAAACCCGACAGAAGGCAACGGUCGAGGUGGCCAAUCGAAGUCAAACCUCAACCGAUUCGCAGCCCUUGUCAGAGCAAAGUUUCAUGCGAUUUCUGCAAUUGGUGGAAGAAAGAAGGGACAGGACCAAGAAGUCCAAAAUAAGCUUAUGCACCAUGUCUUGUCGCAAAACCGUGACCAAGGACAAAAUAAUGGAGGACGAGGAGUGAGUCUAUCAGAUUUUCAAAAUACAAGACCACUUAUGUUUGCUUCAACCACAGAACCUAUGGAUGCCGAAGAUUGGCUAAGAGAUACUGAAAGAAAAUUAAAUGUCGUCGGCUGUAACGACGAGGAAAAACUGCGGUAUACAUCAUAUUUGUUAACAAGACCAGCAGCAACUUGGUGGGAGACUAUGCUAGCAAUGCAACAACCAGGGUCACUAGUUACUUGGACUGAAUUUAAGGAUAGGUUUCGUAGUACUCAUGUUCCUGAAAGUAUUAUGGAGCUUAAGAGACGGGAAUUUGAGAAUGUACGUGAGAAUGAUUCUCCGAUUCUCAGAUAUGUCCGGGAAUUCAGCAUGCUAUCUCGUUAUGCACCUGACGAGGUGGAUACUGAAGACAAACGGAUGAAGAGGUUCAUGAAAGGUUUGAACCCAUACAUGAGGAUGCAGUUGCGUUUAACUGGACACCGUAAUUUUCAAGAAUUAGUUGAUGCAGCAAUUACCUUGGAGGAUGAUUAUAAAGGUGUUCAAGAGGAAAGGAGGAAGAAAGCGCGAACAGAUCCAAAGCGUUUUCAAGAUCAGAAACCAACACCCAAUCUGACCUUUAAACCUAAACCGAGCCCGGGAAAUUUCAACCCUAAACCUAAUCCCAACAAGGGAAUCCCAAAUCCCAAGAGCAAUGUGAAAUGUCACAACUGUGGAGUAAAGGGACAUUACAAGUCAGAGUGCAGGCAAGCCAAAGUAAUUUGAUAUGGAUGUGGACAGCCUGGACACAUGAAACCUAAUUGUCCGAAUAAACAAAACUUUACACCACCAUCGGGCGGGAUACGACCAUCAAUAGGAACGGCAGCUUCCAGAGGAAGGAACCCUCGAGACAACAAAGGCAAGCCAUAUGGAAAGCUGAACUGUACCAGUGUAGCGGAAGUGAUCAACUCAGAAGAAGCAAUUCUAGGUACGCUUGACAUUAUGACUUAUCCGGGGAAAGUUCUGUUUGAUACCGGGGCAACGACGUCAUUUAUCUCAAAAGAAUUCAUAGACGCGUAUGGGCUUACGUGUAGAUUGUUAGACCGACCUAUUACGAUUAUGUCUGCGGGAGGAACAGUAUUAGUAAUGCGGCAACGUUUAAAGCAAAUCCUUAUGAUUUGCGGAUACGAGUAUUUCGUGGAUCUAUUCGUUAUACCGAUGAGCGAUAUAGCAAUCAUUCUGGGAAUGGAUUAGUUAGUAAGUCAUGGAGCUCAAAUAGACUAUGGUGAGAACACGGUAGCAAUUAAGAAUCCAACUAGAGAGAAAGUUGUGUAUCAAGGAGACCCGAAUGCAAGAUUAGAGGCAGAAUUACAGUUGAAUUCACUCAAAGAGGUCAGAAUAGAGGAUAUCCCAAUCGUUAGAGAAUUUCAAGAUGUAUUUCCACAAGAGUUACCAGGAAUGCCACCUGAUAGAGAAAUAGAGUUCACAAUUGAUUUAAUACCGGGCACAUCACCAAUAGCCCAAGCACCAUACAAAAUGGGGCCAAAGGAGUUAGUAGAAUUAAAGGCACAGAUAGAUGAACUCAAGGAGAAAGGAUUUAUAAGAGAAAGUGUAUCUCCUUGGGGAACGCCUGUGAUAUUUGUGGAUAAGAGAGAUGGAGGUAGAAGGAUGUGUGGGGACUACCGAAAUCUGAAGAAUGUCACUAUCAAGAAUAAGUAUCCGUUACCGAGAAUACAAGAUUUGUUUGAUCAAGCCAAAGGAUCAGGAGUUUUCUCAAAGAUAGACUUAAGAUCAGGAUACCAUCAGAUAAAGAUUAAGGAGGAAGAUAUUCCAAAAACAACAUUUGUCACAAGAUAUGGACACCAUGAAUACUUGGUUGUACCAUUUGGAUUAACCAACGCACCAGCCAUAUUCAUGAAUUUGAUGAACAAGAUAUUUAUGCCUUAUUUGGAUAAGUUUGUCAUAGUAUUCAUUGAUGACAUACUAGUGUAUUCCAAAGACAAAUCAGAUCAUGCAAAACACCUCAGAAUAGUUUUGCAAACACUCAGAGAACACCAACUUUAUGCCAAGUUUAGUAAAUGUGAGUUCUGGUUAGACAGAGUAGAAUUUCUUGGACAUGUAAUUACCAAGGAAGGAAUAGCUGUAAAUCCAGAAAAAGUUCAAAUAGUUUUGGAAUGGCAAGCACCCAAGAAUGUAAAGGAAAUCAGAUCAUUUCUUGGAAUGGCCAGAUAUUAUAGGAGAUUCAUAGAAGGAUUCUCCAAGAUAGCUGGACCAAUGACAAAACUUUUAAGAAAGAAUGUACCUUUCAUCUGGGACAAGAAGUGCGAGAAAUUUUUUCAAGAACUAAAGGAAAGACUGACAGCAGCACCAGUUUUAGCAGUUCCUGAACCAGGAAAGGACUAUACAGUAUAUUGUGAUGCAUCAAAGAAUGGACUAGGUUAUGUGCUAAUGCAAGAUAGGAAAGUAAUUGCAUAUGGAUCAAGAUAGUUACGACCUCAUGAACUUAACUAUCCAACACAUGAUCUAGAGUUAGCAGCAGUAGUUCAAGCACUAAAGAAUUGGAGACAUUUCUUAUAUGGAUCAAAGUGCGAACUAUAUACAGAUCACAAAAGUCUUAAAUAUUUCUUCACUCAGAAAGAUUUGAAUAUGAGACAACGAAGAUGGUUAGAAUUAAUCAAGGAUUAUGACUUGACCAUAAACUAUACUCCGGGAAAAGCUAACGUUGUAGCAGACGCGUUAAGUCGAAAAGCCACGUGCAACAUGUUAGAAGGGAGGAGAAUGCCAAAGGAAUUGCAAAAAGAAGUUGCACAAAUCCAGAAAGAUUACUGGGAAGGAGAACCCCAGAAUACUAUUGAAAUAAUAGAAGCCUUAGCUAAGAUGAAUAUGGAUCUAGAAGGAGAAAUUUUAAAGAGGCAGAAAGAAGAUCUGUUCAUAGUUGAGGAAAUCCGUAGAAUUGACGAAGGAAGGUCAUCCAUGUUUGAACUCCGGGAGGAUAAUUCAUUAUGGUUUCAAAACAGGAUCUGUGUACCAGAUAUUCCUGAGAUCAAAGAAUUAAUUUUCAAAGAAGCACACCAAACACCUUACUCUAUACAUCCAGGAAGUACAAAGAUGUAUAUGGACCUAAAGGCUGUAUUUUGGUGGAACAAUAUGAAGAAAGAAAUAGCGAAGUAUGUUUCAAAAUGUCAUACUUGUCAGAGAGUUAAAGCCGAACAUCAGAGUCCUGCUGGAAAACUACAACCCUUACCAAUUCCCAAAUGGAAGUGGGAAGAUAUAGGAAUGGAUUUUGUUACCGGAUUACCUAUGACCAAAAAUCACAAGGAUAUGAUCUGGGUAAUAGUUGAUCGGUUAACAAAGAGUGCACAUUUUCUAGCAGUAAAUCAGAAAGACAGUUGUGAAAAACUUGCCGAAAUCUAUGUCAAUGAGAUUGUCAGCAAGCACGGUGUACCAAAGAGAAUAGUAUCAGAUCAAGGAUCAAUCUUUACAUCAGCAUUUUGGAAGCAUCUGCAAAAAGCUUUAGGAACCCAAUUAGACUUUAGUAUUGCAUACCAUCCACAAACUGGAGGACAGACAGAAAGAACAAACCAAAUACUUGAAGAUAUGUUAAGAGCUUGUGCUUUAGAUUUUGGUGGAUCAUGGCAUGAACAUCUACCAUUAGCAGAGUUUUCUUACAACAACAGUUACCAAAGCAGUAUCAAAAUGGCACCUUUUGAAGCACUUUAUGCAAGAAAGUGCAUAUCACCUGUUUGUUGGUCUGAAGAUACCGGAAGUAAAGAAUUUGAGACAACAUACAUCGGAGAUCAACGGCAUGUGAUUGAUAUCAUCCGAGACAGAUUAAAGAUUGCUCAGAGUAGACAGAAAAGUUACGCAGAUUUGAAAAGAAGAACAUGGGAACCCCAAGUCGGAGAUAUGGUAUAUUUAAGAGUCAGUCCAACAAGAGGAAUUAAGAGAUUCGAGGUUAAGGGGAAGUUAAGUCCUCGAUACAUUGGGCCAUUUAAGAUAUUAAGUCAGAAAGAAACAGUGGCCUAUGAGCUGGAAUUACCGACACAAUUAUUUCAAGUUCACAAUGUAUUCCAUGUUUCGCAACUCAGAAAAUGUUUGAAAGUACCGAAAGAACCCUUGAGCUAUACAGAGCUAGAAUUGAAAUUACAUUUGACCUAUGAAGAGAAACCAACCAAAAUUAUUGGUGAAAAAUGGAAGUAGCUUAGAAAUAGAGCGAUAAAGUAUUGUAGGGUGCAGUGGAAGCACCAUCCCGAGAGAGAAGCCACGUGGGAGAAAGAGGACGAUUUACGAAGGGAUUAUCCUUAUCUCUUCAGGUACCAAGUUCCGGAAACUUCGGGACGAAGUUCUUAUAAGGGGGAGAGGAUGUAACAUCCCGACAUUUAGGGUCGGGAAAAACUGGGUAGCUUAAGAUUGUAGAUUUGCAUUCUAGUUUUGAAAAGGGUGAAUUUGCAAAAACUUAUUUUGCUUAGGUUCAAAAUGUGAAGUUUGACUACGGAUCAAAUUUUGAACUCUAGAAUUUGAAUCAAAUUUCAAAUUUGAAAAUUUUGGACUUAGCCAAAAUUUGAAAAUGGGGAUAACAAAAAUUAUUUUGGCAUCAACUUGAUUGUUUAAGUUAUUGUGCUUGAUUGUUAGUUCAUAGGAGUUGUUUGAACUCAAAGUGAAAUUCAAAUUUAAAAUUUGAAUUAUUUGAGAUAAUUAUGAUUAAAAGAUGAACUUUGAUCAACUAUUAAAAAUCACCUACACCUCACAAAAAUGUGAAACAAGUUGCAAUGGAUAGAUAAUAAUCAUCUUUAUUGCAUACUAUUUUUACAUUACAAGAAUUGGAUCACAAUCUGAUCACAGAAAAAUAAAAUGAAAAAUACAUCAAAAAUAGAAAAUGGAAGAUCCUAUUCUAGCCUAUUCUAUCCUAUCUAGUCUUUUGCUCCUUGUCUUCAUCUUGAAACCUGAAAUGCACAACAACAAAAGGAAGCAUAUUGUUAUUGUUAAAAUGUUUGGUUGGUCUAAGACCAACCAGUUAAUGUGGAAUCCAUAGGAUUAAUUCCAAAAACUUGUUUUGGAAUUAAAAUAGCCAGGGCAUGGCAAAUAAUUUUAGAAGAUCAUUUCCAAACCCAAUUGAAACCAGAACAUUAGUGACAAUAAAAAUAAGCAAGUAGACCAUCUAAAUGAUCUAGUAAAAUCUAAUUGUGAACAUUGAAGAAUUGAACCAGUAGUAGAACAGUAGGUUUAGAACAUCACAACAUUCAUAAAUAAAUACCCAGAAUAUCAAUAUCAUCAAGGAUUAGCAAAAACCACUGAUUAGCAAAUGAAGUGCCCUGACUUGGAAACCAUUUUAAGAAUAGCAUUUAGCAAAAAUUUGAUCAUGCAAAGGAUCAUGUCCUUGCUAAUCAAAAUUAGCAAGUGAUUAACAAAUGCAACCAAUAAAAGUUUAACUUGAACACAGUAUUAACAUCAGUGCGUUGCACUGGACACAUCAGAACCAAAAUCCACAAUCAAAAGUCAGUAUACAACAAAGUCAUUAAUAAACAGAUUAGUAGAUUCAUGAAAAUCAUGUAUCUGCACUAGAAACCAAAAUAUAAGUCGGUUUGGAACAGUGCUCCAACCCCAGCCUAUAAAUACCCCCUCCCACAACACAUUUCACUCACAAAAAUCUCAAAGCAGCUCAUAAAAACACCUUAGGGCCAGAGGCUAAAGGUUGAGCCCACAAACUCCAUAGCUUGAAAGCUUGGAGAGAGAUUAAAAGGGAAAGCUCACUUGUGAGUAGCCCACACAUUAGAACACACCAGUAGUAUAGCUAGAGGAAGAAGAAGAAGGCAAGAUCAGGGGAAGAAAGGAGGUGCUGCCCAAAUCUACAUCAAG
RNAcentral lists this long non-coding RNA (12779 nucleotides) under Triticum aestivum (bread wheat). RNAcentral describes it as "long non-coding RNA (TAES_LNC021057)". The record is from RNAcentral. Lineage: Eukaryota; Viridiplantae; Streptophyta; Magnoliopsida; Poales; Poaceae.